RNAcentral lists this non-coding RNA (29 nucleotides) under Cricetulus griseus (Chinese hamster). Lineage: Eukaryota; Metazoa; Chordata; Mammalia; Rodentia; Cricetidae. The record is from RNAcentral.
CUUUACAAGGUUCUAAGACUGGAAAAGCU